GCCAUGCAGUCGAGCGAGUGACUCGGAGAGAAGUUUUCGGAUGGAUCGAAGAGUCAUCUUAGCGGCGGACGGGUGAGUAACGCGUGAGAAACCUGCCUUUCACAAAGGGAUAGCCUCGGGAAACUGGGAUUAAUACCUUAUGAAACUGAAUUACCGCAUGGUAGAUCAGUCAAAGCGAAUAAGCGGUGAAAGAUGGUCUCGCGUCCUAUUAGCUAGUUGGUGAGGUAACGGCUCACCAAGGCUUCGAUAGGUAGCCGGCCCGAGAGGGUGAACGGCCACACUGGAACUGAGACACGGUCCAGACUCCUACGGGAGGCAGCAGUGGGGAAUAUUGCACAAUGGAGGAAACUCUGAUGCAGCGACGCCGCGUGAAUGAUGAAGGCCUUCGGGUUGUAAAGUUCUGUCCUUGGGGAAGAUAAUGACGGUACCCAAGGAGGAAGCCCCGGCUAACUACGUGCCAGCAGCCGCGGUAAUACGUAGGGGGCGAGCGUUGGUCCGGG
This 500-nucleotide ribosomal RNA is filed under the name uncultured bacterium. RNAcentral's name for it is "bacterial SSU rRNA". It matches the Rfam family "Bacterial small subunit ribosomal RNA", at positions 53 to 546 of the family's 1533-position model. The record is from RNAcentral.